GACGAACGCUGGCGGCGCGCCUAACACAUGCAAGUCGAACGAGCAAAGAGGAGCUUGCUUCUCUGAGCGAGUGGCGAACGGGUGAGUAACGCGUGAGGAACCUGCCUCAAAGAGGGGGACAACAGUUGGAAACGACUGCUAAUACCGCAUAAGCCCACGGGUCGGCAUCGACCAGAGGGAAAAGGAGCAAUCCGCUUUGAGAUGGCCUCGCGUCCGAUUAGCUAGUUGGUGAGGUAACGGCCCACCAAGGCGACGAUCGGUAGCCGGACUGAGAGGUUGAACGGCCACAUUGGGACUGAGACACGGCCCAGACUCCUACGGGAGGCAGCAGUGGGGAAUAUUGCACAAUGGGGGAAACCCUGAUGCAGCGACGCCGCGUGAGUGAUGAAGUAUUUCGGUAUGUAAAACUCUAAUCAGCAGGGAAGAUAAUGACGGUACCUGACUAAGAAGCACCGGCUAAAUACGUG
This 467-nucleotide ribosomal RNA is filed under the name uncultured bacterium. RNAcentral describes it as "bacterial SSU rRNA". It matches the Rfam family "Bacterial small subunit ribosomal RNA", at positions 28 to 507 of the family's 1533-position model. The record is from RNAcentral.